This 717-nucleotide ribosomal RNA is filed under the name Triticum aestivum (bread wheat). Its description in RNAcentral is "partial small subunit ribosomal RNA". The record is from RNAcentral. Lineage: Eukaryota; Viridiplantae; Streptophyta; Magnoliopsida; Poales; Poaceae.
CGGUCCUAUCGGCACAAGCCAGAGCACAAGAAGGAGAUUGAUGCCCAAGUUGAAGAGCUUCUCCGAAAGGGCAUUGUUCAAAAAAGCAGUAGUCCCUUCUGCUCCCCAGCUAUCCUCGUCAAGAAGAAGGACGUGACGUGGAGGCUCUUCAUCGACUACAGACACCUCAACACCAUCACUUACAUCGCCAAGUACCCCGUGUCUAUCAUCGAAGAGUUGUUGGACGAGCUGCACGGCGCAGCCUGGUUCUCUAAGCUGGAUCUUCACUCAGGUUAUCACCAGAUUCGCUUGGCAGAAGGCGAAGAAUAUAAGACAGCGUUCCAGACGCACUCAGGCCACUAUGAGUUGUUGGCGGUGUCUUUCGGUUUAGCUGGCGGGCCGACCACAUUCAACGGAGCCCUGACAACCACCCUCAAACCAGUCGACCGCAAGUGUGUGCUCCUCUUUUUCGACGACAUCCUCGUGUUCAGUCAGACUCUACGCGACCACAUCAGCUACCUGCGACAGGUUCUACAACUCUUGCGCCAAGAUCAAUGGCGCGUGAAGAUGUCCAAGUGUGAGUCCGGCCAGCACAGCCUAUCGCACCUUGGGCAUGUCAUCAGCAACCGAGGAGUGUCCACGGAACCAGCCAAGAUACAAGUUGUGUCCAACUGGACGACACCAACUGACAUCAAAGCAGUACGCAGCUUCUUGGGACUCGCCGGAUACUACCGAUGA